Molecule: long non-coding RNA, 578 nt
Organism: Oreochromis aureus
Lineage: Eukaryota; Metazoa; Chordata; Actinopteri; Cichliformes; Cichlidae
Exons: 3
Source: RefSeq, a predicted model, not a curated record
UGUCUGGAAUCACUGCCAAGCUGAAAAAUGAAGCCCCUGCCAAUCAGAUAUUUCCAGAUGGUGGAUCAAAAUCUGACUGUACUCAUUUUCAUAAUUCCAUCAGGUUUGCUAAGAUCCCCCAAUGAGAACCAAGCAACAGCUUGUAUUGCAGGAGGGCAUGUAUAGACAUAGGCCCAGAAGGGAAUUGUAUUAGACUGGCAGCAGCUCAGUGCAGGCGACAGGUUGUUACUGAAAGUGCGCGGCGAUAAGGAGAGCUUGCUUCGUGGUGGAGAAAAGGUCAUGACGCUUGGGAAUCCACCCUGAAAACAUACAAUGUCUUGGCAAGGUGGUUCGGCCACUUGCGUCAUUUCUUCCUGCAAUUGUUCAGCAGGUCAACGCGCAGACACAGCUGGCAGGAAGAGAGAUGCUGAACCCACCAUAAAGCUAGCCAAUCAGAUUGCUCCUAUGCAGAAAGCGGCAGCCAUCCUUGGCCAGUCUCUGGACCAUCUCCAGUCUGGACAGGUCCUCCUUGUCAUGCAGGAUGCACUUGUUCCCGUGCUGCAGCCCAGGGGACACAGAGAACAUGUAUCUGAGGCCAC